Non-coding RNA from Lactuca sativa (garden lettuce), 769 nucleotides. NCBI's taxonomy places the organism in Eukaryota, Viridiplantae, Streptophyta, Magnoliopsida, Asterales, Asteraceae. The record is from RefSeq and is a predicted model, not a curated record.
UCACUUCAUUGUGUUGAUACGCUAUAAAAAUGUUUGUUCUUUAUUUGUGUGUGUUUGGGGAUUUGAGAGUUGAGGGAUAGAUGGAGGCGAUUCUGCCGUUGGGGAUCAUAUUGCAUCGCCGGCAACGUCCAAUAUUUUCUUCACAAAGCCGCUCAUCAUUUUCUGUGUUUUUCAUUCGUAUCUGAAUCUGAUUUAUUUACUAUUUACUAUUUACUAUUUAUUUGUUCUACAUCGGUAAUGAUUUGUGGGAUGUCGCCAUGUGAAGACGUGAUAACAACAUCGUCCACCAAAAACUCUCCUUCUAAUUUCGAUUUUAUCCACUUUCAGGUUCUAUUCCUAAACGAAUCUCUUUCAACUUCGAUUUUCAGAGCUUCUCUACCUAAGUAACUAAUAACUAAUAUCAACAUCUAGGGUUCACUUCCAUUCAUCAUUUCGAUCUCUAAUAAUAGUAUGGAAGGAAGUUUUAAGGAACAAAAAAAAACGUUCAUCAGAAGUUUGACUUUUAGUACUAUAUAUCGACUUCCAUUAGAUUUCAUGUGGUAAUUUGUUACAAAUACAAAAAGCUCAUGGUGAUGUGUGUUUGAACUUUGAAUUUGGUUCUUUCAAAUAGUUUCUUACAAUUUAUUGAUGGAUUUGUUACAUCCAAGAGAUUGCUGGACUUUUAAGCACAACCACUAAGUGUCAGUAGUCAAAUCCAUAGUGAUGAUAUGGUCAAAGUUGUAGUAUAUUAUUACUCUUGGAGAAAAAAGUUUCUAUUUUUGGUAGGUAA